GGUCGCCGCGGUCCAGGUGCCGCGGUAAAGAGGGGGGGGCGGGCGUUGUCCGGAAUCACGGGGGGGGAAGGGCGCUUCGGCGGGUCGGUAAGUUGCUGGUGAAAGCCCGGGGCUCAACUCCGGGGCUGCCGGCACGACUGCCGGACUUGAGAGCGGUAGGGGCAGGUUGAAUUCCCGGUGGAGCGGUGGAAUGCGUAGAGAUCGGGAAGAAUACCAGUGGCGAAGGCGUUCUGCUGGGCCGUUGCUGACGCUGGGGCGCGACAGCGUGGGGAGCAAACAGGAUUAGAUACCCCAGUAGUC
Molecule: ribosomal RNA, 300 nt
Filed under: uncultured Pyrobaculum sp.
Lineage: Archaea; Thermoproteati; Thermoproteota; Thermoprotei; Thermoproteales; Thermoproteaceae
Description: partial 16S ribosomal RNA
Rfam family: Bacterial small subunit ribosomal RNA
Source: RNAcentral